Molecule: RNA transcript, 1342 nt
Organism: Carya illinoinensis
Lineage: Eukaryota; Viridiplantae; Streptophyta; Magnoliopsida; Fagales; Juglandaceae
Exons: 6
Source: RefSeq, a predicted model, not a curated record
UGAAAGUUCCAAUAAAUUGCACAAUGACUUACGUUCUGCCGUCAACGGCUGCUUGAAAGGAAACCAUAGACCUGGGAAUCAUUUUAUCGAAGGGAUUAGCUAUCCCUAAAGGCAGAGACAACUGCCCAAAGUUUUUGCAAGAAAUAGCAGAAAAAUGAAAAGAAAGGCAGCAGAGUUAGAGACCGAGGCAGCAGAAAUAGGAUUAUUGGCUUCGGGAGGAAACGGGACAUCCCAACAAGUCAACACCCCUACCAUCACCACAACUACUACAGAUGUUUGUGGUUCGACCCCAGAUCCCGUUAAAGGAGGAGGUGUUGAUUUUUGUGAUUCUAUGGCAGAAAAGGAACUUGGCAGUCAAAAUGAUGUGGAGUUUAAUCUUGAAGAUGAGGAGGCUCUUAAGAGCAAAGGAACACCACCAGCUAGUAAUUGGUCUGCAAGUUCCAAGGAUUCGCUUCAGGAUCAGACUGAUCAAAGUGAUACCUAUAUCAGCAAUUAUGACGAAACAAGUGGACAUGAAGGAGAUGAGCCGAAAAAGGCAGAUCUUGUAAUGGAAAACAAUAGGGUACCGGCCUUGCAUAAACGGAAAAUAAGUCAACGUCAAUCAAAAGAUAAACGUCGUCGUUCUCAUGAACACAAAGGUGUUGAUUUUUGUGAUUCUAUGGCAGAAAAGGAACUUGGCAUUCAAAAUGAUGGGGAGUUUAAUCUUGGAGAUGAGGAGGCUCUUAAGAGCAAAGGAACCCCACUAGCGAUUAAUUUGUCUGCAGGUUCCAAGGAUUCGCUUCACGAUCAGACUGAUCAAAAUUAUACUUAUAUCAGUAACUACGACGAAACAAGAGGACAUAAAAGAGAUGAGUUGAACGAGGCAGAUCUUGGAAUGGAAAACAAAAGGGUACAGCGGAGAUCGCUCCCUGAAAAGAUGUCUGCUUUCUUGGACGAGUUCCCUGGAAAGUGCGCUCGUCUCCAAAGUUUUGAAAGCCGUUCCGGAGACUAUUCCGGUCGAGUCAUUUUAGCGGAAUAUUUCGAUACCGCUAAAAAAAUAAGCCUUGACAGCAGUUUUUGAGAACCUAGCCCAGAAAGAAGAGACAGGAGCUCGUCUCGGAUGCCUAACCCAGGAAUAAAGCGGCCACCUGUUACUGUUAUUCAGACACCGCCGCCACCACCGCCACCAACAGUAUAGAGAGAGAGAGUACGCAUUUGGGGAUUGUAAUCGGGGGUAUUGUAUGAAUUUGUUGUUUUUACAAUAAACUUAUAUAGAUAUUAGCUUCUAUUUGGUGAGUGUAAUGCAGACCAUUUGAAGACUUGAGCAUUAAUAAUAUGAUCUCAUAUUUGUAUUUUAUUUUAA